Molecule: non-coding RNA, 138 nt
Filed under: Dracunculus medinensis (Guinea worm)
Lineage: Eukaryota; Metazoa; Nematoda; Chromadorea; Rhabditida; Dracunculidae
Description: Eukaryotic small subunit ribosomal RNA
Rfam family: Eukaryotic small subunit ribosomal RNA
Source: Rfam by way of RNAcentral
CAUCGCCCGUCGCUGCCCGGGACUGAUAUUGAAACCGAAUAUCUGCGAUGGAAAUACUGUGGUGGAAAUCGUCUUAAUCGCAGUGGCUUGAACCGGGCAAAAGUCGCAACAAGGUUUCCGUUGGUGAACCUGCGGAAG